Molecule: ribosomal RNA, 468 nt
Filed under: uncultured bacterium
Lineage: Bacteria
Description: partial 16S ribosomal RNA
Rfam family: Bacterial small subunit ribosomal RNA
Source: RNAcentral
GACGAACGCUGGCGGCGUGCUUAACACAUGCAAGUCGAACGGAAAGGCCCUGCUUUUGUGGGGUGCUCGAGUGGCGAACGGGUGAGUAACACGUGGGUAACCUGCCCUUGACUUUGGGAUAACUUAAGGAAACUGGGGGUAAUACCGGAUAGGAGCUCCUGCUGCAUGGUGGGGGUUGGAAGGUUUCGGCGGUUGGGGAGGGACUCGCGGCUUAUCAGCUUGUUGCUGGGGUAGUGGCUUACCAAGGCUUUGACGGGUAGCCGGGCUGAGAGGGUGACCGGCCAAACUGGGACUGAGCUACGGCCCAGACUCCUACGGGAGGCAGCAGUGGGGAAGAGUGCACAAUGGGCGGAAGCCUGAUGCAGCAACGCCGCGUGCGGGAUGACGGCCUUCGGGUUGUAAACCGCUUCCGCCUGUGCCGAAGCGUGAGUGACGGUAAUGGGUAAAGAAGCACCGGCUAACUACGUG